UACGUAGGGUGCAAGCAUUAAUCGGAAUUAUUGGGCGUAAAGGGCGCGUAGGCGGUCUAACAAGUCAGAUGUGAAAUUUCGGGGCUCAACCUCGAAGCUGCAUUUGAAACUGAGAGACUGGAGGGUUGUCGGAGAAAACGGAAUUCCACGUGUAGCGGUGAAAUGCGUAGAUAUGUGGAAGAACACCAGUGGCGAAAGCGGUUUUCUAGAUUACACCUGACGCUGAGGCGCGAGAGCAAGGGGAGCAAACAGG
Molecule: ribosomal RNA, 253 nt
Filed under: uncultured bacterium
Lineage: Bacteria
Description: partial 16S ribosomal RNA
Rfam family: Bacterial small subunit ribosomal RNA
Source: RNAcentral